UAAGCCCAUUCUAACAACUAGUGAAUUUGAAUUACACAAACCCUAACUCUCACAACAGUCAACAGCUGCUGGCGCGCCACCCACCCCCAAUCUCUCAUCUCUCUCUCUCGGCUGGCCGGUGACACGCACUCCGGCACUCGACGCGACGGCGGCUCGGCCUUUCCGGCGAAGGUCCGGACAGCUUAACAGCAACAGUCACGCACGCACGGUUCUGUGCGAUUCUGCGCUGCACGAGCAGCACGACCUCCAUCCACCAUUCCCGCCGUUUCUUCUCGCCAUUUCCACCAUUCCAGCACGACCUCCAUCCACCAUUCCCGCCGUUUCUUCUCGCCAUUUCCACCAUUCCAGCACGACCUCCAUCCACCAUUCCAGCACGACCUCCGACUGCCAUUUCCCAGCCCACCGCGACAGCAGCAGCGACGCCGCGACGGCUCUGCCCUCCUCGGCGUGACAGUAGCAGCAGUGCAGCAGGUUCUAUUUUCUAAAUUUUGGUUGUGGUUUCUGUUUUUUGUUAGAUUCAUGUCCAAAUAGAUAGAAAUCUUAGUUUCUGUUUUUUUUUUUUUUGCUGCUAAUUCUGCACUAUAGCUUUUGUGAUAUCAAAUUAGUGAUUGUGAUAUCAAAACUCCAUUGACAAUCAACAUUCAACGGCUGAUCAUACUGUUACAAAUACUGACAUUGAAGGUGGAAGUGGAGAUGGUGAAACAGGUGGAAGUGGAGAUGGUGGAGAUGGUGAAACAGGUGGAAGUGCAGAUGGUGAACAGGUGGGAGUGGA
RNAcentral lists this long non-coding RNA (772 nucleotides) under Salvia miltiorrhiza (redroot sage). RNAcentral's name for it is "long non-coding RNA (SMIL_LNC004855)". Lineage: Eukaryota; Viridiplantae; Streptophyta; Magnoliopsida; Lamiales; Lamiaceae. The record is from RNAcentral.